Long non-coding RNA from Octopus bimaculoides (California two-spot octopus), 1095 nucleotides. Lineage: Eukaryota; Metazoa; Mollusca; Cephalopoda; Octopoda; Octopodidae. The record is from RefSeq and is a predicted model, not a curated record.
AAGCGUACGUAAAUUUCAUCCGUCUAAUUGGCUAUACAAAUGCUUGUGCAAAACAACUUUUUGUGCUGCCCUGAUUAUACAUAGCAGGGUAAUCCCUUUUCACAGGAGCUAGGACGGCAAUUUCUGAUGAAGCAAUUGCUGGCGAUCUGUUGCUACACAGUUCUGCCAGAAUUCUAUCAGAUUUGGGCAGUAGAUGUUGAUGCACCAUUUUGCAUUAUGUUCAAAGUAGCUUCUGGAAUGUGGUGAAUUGCUGCAAUCUGUUGCUGUCUUUUUAAACCGGUUGCUUUCUUUCCCCAGCAAACACUCUUCUUUGGAGGCAUAAUAUAUGUACAUAUUAAACAGAACAACAAAAGUUAUAACAGAUGGCAGGUAUUGUAGGGUCAGUUGGGCACCGUCUGUGAGAAAAACAGCACCAUGGCACAAUUCACUCAGCCAGAAAUUUCAAAACAUGCUGUACUACUUGGCAUUUGUGCCAGAAGCUCCAGUAUGAACGUUUCAGAGUGUUUGGGUGUGUCAAUAUGACGACAGUACAUUUUGAGGACAUGUAUCAAGAGUGAUAGAAAUCAAACAUCAUGGUGUUUGAAGUGAUCACUAGUGAUGGCAAUGAUAUGCUUUCAUUCAUUUUCUCACAUGGCCUCAGACUCAACAUGGAGGUCUACAUCAAAUGCCUGGAGGAAGUAGUGCUGCCCUGGGUCAAGAAGGUGGCUGUUGGAAGACCCUGUGUCUGGUAACAGGACUCUGCACCUUGCCACAUAAGCAGGAGAACCCAGUCAUGGCUGUCAGACAAUUUCUACGACUACAUCACCCCUAACAUCAGGCCACCUAGCUCCCCAAACUGCAAGCCCCUUGAUUAUUAUGUGUGGGGCACAGUUGAGUGAGAGAUCAACAAAACUCCUUGUAACAACAAAGAUGAACUGAAGGCAAGGGUUAUGACAGCAUUCACCAACAAGGAAACUUUCCAGAAGAGUUGCAGGAUAUUUUGAAGUCAUCUGGAGUGUGUGGCUGAAGCCAAUGGCGAUUUUAUUGAAUAAAUUUACUCUUUUACUAUUUCAAGAUAUUUUUAUGUAAUUUUGGUAAAUAUAUCUGUUAAAAUGA